GACGAACGCUGGCGGCGCGCCUAACACAUGCAAGUCGAACGAGCGAGAGAGAGCUUGCUUUCUCGAGCGAGUGGCGAACGGGUGAGUAACGCGUGAGGAACCUGCCUCAAAGAGGGGGACAACAGUUGGAAACGACUGCUAAUACCGCAUAAGCCCACGACCCGGCAUCGGGUUGAGGGAAAAGGAGCAAUCCGCUUUGAGAUGGCCUCGCGUCCGAUUAGCUAGUUGGUGAGGUAAUGGCCCACCAAGGCGACGAUCGGUAGCCGGACUGAGAGGUUGAACGGCCACAUUGGGACUGAGACACGGCCCAGACUCCUACGGGAGGCAGCAGUGGGGAAUAUUGCACAAUGGGGGAAACCCUGAUGCAGCGACGCCGCGUGGAGGAAGAAGGUCUUCGGAUUGUAAACUCCUGUUGUUGGGGAAGAUAAUGACGGUACCCAACAAGGAAGUGACGGCUAACUACGUGCCAGCAGCCGCGGUAAAACGUAGGUCACAAGCGUUGUCCGGAA
This 509-nucleotide ribosomal RNA is filed under the name uncultured Clostridiaceae bacterium. RNAcentral describes it as "bacterial SSU rRNA". It matches the Rfam family "Bacterial small subunit ribosomal RNA", at positions 28 to 550 of the family's 1533-position model. Lineage: Bacteria; Bacillati; Bacillota; Clostridia; Eubacteriales; Clostridiaceae. The record is from RNAcentral.